UCUCUGAUUGGUUGAGGAAUGGGAGACGACCUCUGAUUGGUUGAUUGCAUGUUACCCAGAACACAGCUCUGAUUAAUGAAGACACUAAGGACAACCCUUUAGAACCAUGCGCCCGCAUGGACCCUUUUUUCCGCUGUCAAACUAGCUAAAGUGGAUUUGGACGCGCCCUAAACGCACCUGCGCCUUGUGCUUCAAGCCGUGAGCUUGGAUGGG
Etheostoma cragini (Arkansas darter) is the source of this 213-nucleotide long non-coding RNA. RefSeq lists it as uncharacterized. The transcript has 3 exons. The record is from RefSeq and is a predicted model, not a curated record. Lineage: Eukaryota; Metazoa; Chordata; Actinopteri; Perciformes; Percidae.